AACUAACGCUGGCGGCGCGUCUUAAACAUGCAAGUCGAACGGAUGUAGCAAUACAUUAGUGGCGAACGGGUGAGUAAUACAUCGGAACGUGCCCAAUCGUGGGGGAUAACGUAGCGAAAGUUACGCUAAUACCGCAUACGAUCUACGGAUGAAAGCGGGGGAUCGCAAGACCUCGCGCGAAUGGAGCGGCCGAUAUCAGAUUAGGUAGUUGGUGGGGGUAAAGGCUCACCAAGCCAACGAUCUGUAGCUGGUCUGAGAGGACGACCAGCCACACUGGAACUGAGACACGGUCCAGACUCCUACGGGAGGCAGCAGUGGGGAAUUUUGGACAAUGGGCGCAAGCCUGAUCCAGCCAUUCCGCGUGCAGGAUGAAGGCCUUCGGGUUGUAAACUGCUUUGUACGGACGAAACGGUCUGCCCUAAUACGGCAGGCUAAUGACGGUACCGUAAGAAUAAGCACCGGCUAACU
Molecule: ribosomal RNA, 468 nt
Filed under: uncultured bacterium
Lineage: Bacteria
Description: bacterial SSU rRNA
Rfam family: Bacterial small subunit ribosomal RNA
Source: RNAcentral